GCCGAACAAUUACGACAAAAUGGAAUAACAAAUUCAAGAUGAUGAGGCAAAUUAUCUAUGAUUUUCGACUUCUAGCUAGACAGCAUUACUAUAAAUGGAUGAAUGACUUUGGAUGUAAAUUUAUAUUCAACAACCACAUUAAGGUGUAUUGACAUAUCUUUUGGAAAAUGCAGAUUAAACCCUGAACUAAGCAUGACUUAUCCAUGUUAAAGCCCUGUGAGUGAUCUGAUCAACCAUGUGCAGACCGUCCUGAACCAAAUUCAAAGACACCUAACAUGGGAAUAAGUUUUGAAUUCUUAAUACAUACCAAGAACAAGUCAAUAUAUUCAAGCUGCAGGUCUCUCAAAGUCCUAUCCAAUGCCUCUAGUACAUCUUCCGGUGCAUGAUCCGUACACCUGCAGACCAUCUUGCUCGUAAGUAUAUAUAUACAAUUACAACCCGUAGGAGGGCUUAGGAUUUAGAUCAUGAAUAAUAACUACCACUUGGUCAAUAUUUCAAUUAAUUAUCAUGAAACUUAUAACGAACCAGAGCUUGGAGGUAAUCCACAAUUCCUCGCGCUUCACCACACCAUCUUCAAACAGCUUCCUCAAAACCAAACCAAUCUACAAGAAACACAAAAUUUUAACCACCAAACCGUCUUCAAAGAAUGAAGCAAAUCACAGGUAAUUUAAACUCCCAACUCAAAAUAAAAACACAAAACAUAGAAACCGGUAUCGGAAUAAGGCAGUCAAUUAGCUUAGAACAUGCUACACAUAUGAGCCAACUGAAGUAAUUUCAGAAAUACAUGAAGAAGAAGUGACAAUAACAGAUCAAAUGAUAGUAAAUGUUUAGAUCUGAACAAAAGCAACUAGAGUUACCUCUUUCUCAUUGCCAUAGACUUGAGCACAAUCAAUAUGCCUAUAUCCUGCCUGCAGUCAGAAACAUCACCACUUCACUAAAGUGCUAAGAUUUACAGAACCAAACAGCAGAAGCGACAAGAAAGGCUUGAUCUUUGUUGUAGUUAAGUAAAAGCAUGUAAACUAAGUGAAGUUGAGUUAAGAGGGAAAGAGGAAGAAGACCUUGAUGGCGGUGGCGACGGCUUCACCGACCAAGCCGGGGCUGGACUGCCAGGUCCCUAAGCCCAAAGACGGCAUCUUGGCUCCGGUGUUCAACUCAAAGAAGCGAAUGUCGUUCGCCAUUUUCAAGUUUCAGAGAGCUGGAAGGAGAAGGAAGUCUGAGAGAGUGAUCAAGUUGGAGUUGAAUUUAGAGAGGAGAGUAAAACGUGGUCAGGGGAAAUGUUCUAGGACAGUGUAGGCGCGAUUAUUGAAGACAAAGUGACAGUUCUGAGUGGCUAACAGGGUGACACCUGUAGCCUAACAGUUGCUUUUUCACCGAAAUUGGAAAAAAGGAACCCGGAUCCUCGUUCUCAUAUUUCCUCGUGAGAGGAUCUCAGCCUUUUAUUUUGAACCAAUGGCUGAGAUUUUCCUAGUUAAUUUUAACCCCUUAUUACCCAACUUACUCGCUUACUCUUCCUCUUCUCCUCAAAAUAUCGGGUUGCUCUCUCUCUCUCUCUGCCGUCGUCGCCCCACAACACUCUCUAAGCUCCCACUAAUCAAACUGUCAUAAAUACUAGACCAUUUCGGAUAAUUAAGCUUAAGAACAACACUAGGCUCGAAGUUACAUGCAUUAUACAUGGACCUACUCUUCCCCAUCAUACACAGCUUCUUAUCCAAUUCCGAAUAAUACCCAUCAAGCCUGAAUCUCACCACACCCCGCGUGACCGGAAUCCUCGAUCCCCGAAAGUUCACCAGCGUCGCCGGCAGAGGGAGGCUCGCGAGCGACGACGGAAGAGAGAGGGAGAUCACGAGCGACGACGGCGGAGGGAGGCCGAGCUCGCGACGGCGGAUUCGAGAGAGAGGGCGGGUGCGGGGCGACGACGGCAGAGAGAGAGAGAGCAGCCCGAUAUUUUGAGGAGAAGAGGGAGAGUAAGCGAGUAAGUUGGGUAAUAUGGGGUUAAAAUUAACUAGGAAGAUCUCAGCCAUUGAUUCAAAAUAAAAGGCUGAGAUCCUCUCAUGAGGAAAUAUGAGGACCAACUCAUGAGGAGAGGAUCCGGGUUCAGAAAAAAGAGGGAGAAGGAGGAGGAAUCAAAUUUGCCUUUUUGUUCUUGCCAUGACUAUCCAAUCAAAACCUGCCAAAAAAAGAGAGUUGACCAUAGUUAUAUUAUCACCCAUGGCAAUUUUUGAUUAGAUGGUCACAGUAUGAUUAAAAAUUUGCUAGUUGACAAAUUUAAUUUCGAAGAAAGAAGAAUAUAUUUUGUUGUCGGAAUCAAAGUUUAAAUGGAUAUUUCAAUCAUGGACUUAUCCUAUUAGAUUUAAGUCAUUUAACUGAUGUCUGAUGCUGUGGUAAAAUAUGGUGGAACUAUAAAAUCAUAAUUAAAAAAUUGAUCAAACUGCUUAGUAUGGAGCUUUGUCAAGAGUUCGAAAUUUUGAAUCCCAACUAAUGAGAGUUUGUGAUCAGCAGGUAUUAAGAGACUCCGGAUUCAUGCGCUUGCGGUAGGAGAUAUGUUUUGACUUUGCUGGAAUACUCAUGUGGAUCUCAGUCCGAUUGUUGACUGAGUUGGUGUGUUACUAACUUGCUAAUGUAUACCUUACUCCUAAUAAAAAGAAAUAUGCUUAGAUGUUAAUAAAAAAGAAUAGCUUUUAUUUGUACGAUAGUCUGACACAUUCCUUUUAUAAAUAGGUUUGGUUUAAAUCUGUGACUUCCAGCUACUCGGCAUCUACGCUCCGAUUUACAGUGGUCAGUUCCCAUAACUAUGCAAAGUGUAGAUAUGAGAAAAAGGUCCAGAUUAAGGGGAUUGAACAAGCAAUUCUUCCACAAUCACAAUACCAACGGGUUAAUAUUCAAGAUAUACUACUGAUGCCGAUUUCAGAGGUUACAGAUAAGUAGUUUUAUGAAUUAGGUAUCAACCAUUAACACCAGUCGUAUCUGUAUAAUGUACUCGAGCAUGCACUUGAGAGUCAAGAGUUUUGGAGGCAAAUUGUUUCUGAGAAAAGGUGGUUAGUUCCCAUAACUAUGCAAAGUGUAGAUAUGACAAAAGGUCCAGAUUAAGGAGAUUGAACGAGCAAUUCUUCCACAAUGAUGUAUAAUUGAAUAACACUUCAUCUGCAUCAUGAUGUAGAUCCCACUGUUAUAUUUGUUGUAUGUGGUUGGGUUACCUUCUGCAAAUGAGAGGCGAAAGGAGGGAAAAUUGUAAUAAACAUUGGAGGACUUUGACAUUGCACUUGCAAACACCGUCUGUAGCAGAAGCAUCUAAAUCCAACAAAAUAUAUAAAAAGUUAGCACAUAACGCAACCGAAAUCCGACAAUUACUAACAAAGGCCUUACGGUGGCUCUUGCUAUCUCAAUUCGUCUAUUCAAUGAUGUCAAUUCCGGCACAAAAUCCCACAACUUGGCAAUUUUCUCCUUUAGUUUCAUAACCAACAAAAAUAUAUGGUUUGUGAUUUCAUCAUGCAACGGGAUGAAAAUCUGCAAAAGCACAAGAAAUUAUACACAUGACAAGCAACGUAAUAUCAAUGUGAUGAAUUAACCCUUAAUUACCUAAACACAAUGCUUUAAUCGCCUAUGGAACCUCUGCAACCGACAAUGAACAAUUGUUGAUGCCACUGAAACAGGGACAACAGAUGGAUUCUCAUUUAACUUGGCUUGUUCCUAUUCAUGAAGACAGUAACAUAGCAUUCAUUAUUAUCAUUGUUUGUAUUUAGGUACAAUAGCAGAGUUAUUAUUCCUAAUGUGAUUUCUUUAUACCCCAAAGAAAGUAGGCAAGAACCAUGAGUCGGAGUUGGUUUGACACAAGUACGCCGCCCAAAUGUUUAUGGCCUGAAUCAUUUUCAGUCAUCUCACAUAGUUAAGAUUACGACCAUAUAAUGUAUGUGCAAUACUAGCUUAGAAGAAAUUGGCACGGAUAAUUCAUUACCUUUGAAGAAAUUGAGACGCUCGGGCAAAGACAUUGGAUAUCCUCAAGGGACACCCCAAAAUCCCCACCGCGGGCAACUUCUUCCCUGUAUUAAUCAAAUGCACUGGUCAAAAACAAUAAUGCUCUUCUGCGGUCACAAUAUCAACCAAAACUCAAAUAAAUUAUUGAAAACAGAAGCACAGAAGCUUCAUAUAGCAUUGAAUGACCAACUGAAAAUCCUUAAUUCAGGUCACAAAACUUAUAAUGUCUUUACUGACCUGGACUCAUGUCCUCCUUUCCUUGGCUUCCCAAAUAAGAACUUUAAGACCUUAGAAUCCUUCCAAAUAAGAACUAAGCAUCAGUCUAAAUACAUAGACGUAGUAGCAUCAAAAAGUCUUCUAACCCAGUAAAACCCAGACUCUCGAAUUGAAAAAAAAUCUUCCAGUUCAACUCCCACAAACCAAUUCAACCCAACAUUCAAAUAAUAGUAAUUAUCAGGGAGAGAAGAAUAACUUAAUCUUACAACUGAAGAGAGAGAGAGAGAGAGAGAGAGAGAGAGAGAGAGAGAGAGAGAGAGAGAGUAGACGAGACNNNNNNNNNNNNNNNNNNNNAAAAUCUGAAAAUUUGAAUGUCAAGUUAACUCUAAAAAUCUAGAUUACACAGAGUGAAACUGAAAGAGUACUCCCCACGAAAACAAGUAUAAUAUUUACCUUUCUUACCUCUCUCUCUUUUUGUGGAGGAAUCUCUGAGUGGGUUUUGCAGAAACAAGGCAGUGCUCCCGCUCAACCUGACCCUUGCAAUUGAAAAUAGGGGAACGAAUGGUGGGUUCGUUCUCUUGAAGCUUGGAAUUUGAGCAAAUGACUGCAAUUCUCGAUCGGGAGUCAGGAAAGAUUCGUACCCUGAUUUGUAGUCGGUGUAGAUUUAACGGUAAUUCGGAUACCGCGUGGGUUUUUGAGGUUUGAAUCGGAGAUUUCGAAUCUCUUCGUCGGAGCCGCCGUCGUGGGAUUAGGCCGGAGAGCAAGAAAGGUUUGGAUUUUCUUUUUAGGUUUGGGUCGACUGCCUACAUCCCACAGUGAUAUAAGGUAAUUUUGUUUUUACUGCUGUUUCUUCAUCUGACUAACUAACCGAUACGCUCCGUCUUACUAAGUCUGUUAACAGACGUUAGACCCACAUUAAAGGUUCAAGUGCCCCAUGGUGCACUGAAUCCGCUCCGCAUGAAAGAUUAGAUUAGUUUUGCUACGAUACUCUCGCGGACGUCGGUUUGCAUACCAAAUAGGUGGGUGUGUUACUAAUUUACUAACCUGAUUCGAAUAACGUAAAUAAAGGUGACUUGCUAUCUCACUACCAAUCCAGAAAAAAAAAUACAUAAAAUUCGCAAUCAACCGACAACCGGUAAAUUCAGGUGGUGUAAUUUCUUUGAAAUUAAUAAUAAUAAUCCAGUAUCGUAAUGGUAAAAGUGUAAAACCAACUCCCAGCUAGGCUGGGUUCCAAAAAGAAAUGGUAAAACCAAAUCAGUAUGAAGUUCAUUUGUGAAGGUCCUAGGGGGGGGGUGGGGGGGGGGGGUGAAUAGGUCUUUAUUACUUUUUCGUCCGAUUCCGUUCACAAGGAUAGCAAACAUUUAGCUAUCCUGAUAACAUGGAGACGUAGUAAUAAAUAAAAGAACAAGUACUGGAAAGUAAAAGAAAUAACACCAGUACGUUUUUUAUUCGCAGAAACCUUGCACCAGGGAGAAAAACUGCGUGCCCCUAACUCUUGAGGGACAAACCUUUCCACUAUGUAAAACUCACUUCUUACAAGAUUAUAGUCUAGGGAUACAACGACGAUUUGCAAUCCUGCCUAGUCUACCCACUAGUCUAGAUCUAUCUCUCCUGUCUCUGAGUGACUCACCUCACUCCUCACAAGAUUAUNNNNNNNNNNNNNNNNNNNNUGGGUUGGAAGAACAACACAACCCUAGACUAACUUGGAGCUCAAGCACGAUGAAAAAUGUUUUGCUAAAAGAGAUUUGAAAUUCAAAUACUGAAAAGCUGAAGCAAAACCAUUUAAAUCUGCACGAAGUCAGACUCAGAGAUUAUGAUAGAUACAACAGGGGUAUCCACCAAAUCUGGAUAGCAAGCAGAGCUGCCAUCCUGAAUGAAUGUGAUGCACAUGCAUGAACUACCUGAUGUACAUGAGAUAAAAACAAAUAGCCAGCUAAUAUAUUAGUUUGUGUAUCACAAACCUAGCUAGAGCCUCUAAGCUCUAGUCAUGUGGUCACGGGUUGAAAACACUACACAACCCUAGACUGACUUGAAGCACCAAGGCAACGACAAAUGUUUUGCUAAAGGGGAUUUGAAUUCAAACAGUGGAAUUCAAACGAAUGAUACACAAAUAGCAAAAGCAUUUAGACAUGCAUACAUAUAGACCCAAUAGAUUAGGACAGAUACACCAAGAGGUAUCAUCCGAUCUAGGAUGACAAGCAAAGCUGCCAUUCUCAGUGAAAAACAUAAGAUGCAUAUGCAUGAACUACCUGAUACACAUGAGAUCUUGACAGGUCUUCAUUCUUCACUUAUGAUAUCCUUACCAUCAGGAUAUGUAGAAUUCUCAGUGAAAAGCAUCAGAUGCAUAUACACCAGUUACCUAGGACACAUGUGAUCUUGUCAAGUCUUCAUUCUUCACUUGUGAUAUCCUUACCAUCAGGAUAUAUAAAAUAGCUUGUGUCUUGUGUUUUGAUCAUAAAAGGGAUAGCCAACAAUCCUUAUACCAACAAUUUGUCUAAUGCCGAUACGAAUAAUGUUGUUCUAUGAAUCUGCAAGGUGAGAAUCUUAUUUCAAGUUUCUUUCAAACCAAACAUGGAAAGAAACUUUAGUUCAGGGUGAACCGAAAAGGUUUCGCCCUAGAAGGCUCAAAAAGUAUGAGCGUUGCUUUGCAUUAUGUAUUCGGUUAGGCCAACAAGCCGACCAAAACGCUUCGUAAUAGUCGUUUUAGCCAAGUCGCCAUCAAGACGAGCAAAGCACUGACUUAAUCUAGAUUUCACCAUCCCAGAGUUCCUCAACAGUUCUAUAGGACCCAAAAGUGUCAUGUACAAAAAAGUCACCUUUGACUAGCCUUUCCUGCAAAUUUGGAAAACAAUGUAGUAUCAGUGACCAUCAUCACCAUCUUGAUCAAAUUACAGAACCUAAUAGGACUCCAGAAGCAACCAUGUCAUAUUAAUGAUGGGCUAUGUUUAAUAGUUAUGCCAUAACUGACNNNNNNNNNNNNNNNNNNNNUAGGCUACUUAUCUAUCAUUUUGACCUCAUCCUUUACAACUGAGACAGUCAGACUGAAGGGUAAUAUGAACAUCGUAUUUGUGGUUUAAAGAUGGCACAAACUAUUUUAAGAAAUGUAGUUUGAACACUAAAAGUAGGCAUAUUGCACAUUUCUACAAAGAAUCCCAACUGAUAAAUCACGUAUAUACUCCAGAACAAAAAUCCAAGAGACAUAACAUGCGAACGAGAUUUGAACAUGCAAUGCAUACCAGGUACAAGUCCAAAUAAUCAAGCUGCAAGUCUCCCAGGGUCUUAUCCAUAUCUUUUGGAAAAUGCAGAUUAAACCCUGAACUAAGCAUGACUUAUCUAUAUUAAAGCCCUGUGAGUGAUCUGAUCAACCAUGUGCAGACCGUCCUGAACCAAAUUCAAAAGCACCUAACAUGGGAAUAAGUUUUGAAUUUUUAAUACAUACCAAGUACAAGUCAAUAUAUUCAAGCUGCAGGUCUCUCAAAGUCCUAUCCAAUGCCUCUAGUACAUCUUCCGGUGCAUGAU
This 7707-nucleotide long non-coding RNA is filed under the name Fragaria vesca (wild strawberry). RNAcentral describes it as "long non-coding RNA (FVES_LNC002866)". The record is from RNAcentral. Lineage: Eukaryota; Viridiplantae; Streptophyta; Magnoliopsida; Rosales; Rosaceae.